Long non-coding RNA from Drosophila miranda, 879 nucleotides. RefSeq lists it as uncharacterized. NCBI's taxonomy places the organism in Eukaryota, Metazoa, Arthropoda, Insecta, Diptera, Drosophilidae. The record is from RefSeq and is a predicted model, not a curated record. The transcript has 3 exons.
UUCUUUUACCAGCUUUAUUCUGGUAUUAGGCCUUGUCAGUGCAUUAUGCUCGUCCGCCUGAGUCAAAGUAGGCAGCAAGCAUUUUCUGCUUCUGCUAGUGUUGGUGCUUUUAGCUGUCGUCAAACGUUGUUGCUGUUGCUGGUCAUUGUUUUGCUGUAUGCCGUUUUUAGUUUCGGCAUAAGUCAAUGUGUUUGUUUUUGUUUUGGUAUUUGCGUAGGUCAGGGUAGCUUCGUUUGGUUUGCUGUUCGUGUUUGUGUUUUGUUUCGGCGGGAGAGAGCAAGCAUCUCUCUUUUUGUCAUAAGUGCGUGUGUGCAUGUUUGGCGGCAGACGCUUUGGGGCUUGAAGUGACGCGCCUUCGUUUUGUUUUUGCGCCGAGGGUUCGGAUGCUGAGAGAGCGCAAGCGUCGCUCUCUAUGAUGCUUGUUUGCGCACACUCGCCCGCCAGAUUUGCUACAGACGGAGUUUAUUUCCAGCUUUUCUUAUUACCUAGGACAUGGCAAUUUACAUUUAAGCUUAACUCACAACAAUAAUGCGAUUUUAAAAUUGGCGGGCUGUUAACAUUAACAUUACAUUGACAUUAGCAUUACAUUAACAUUAACAUUAUAGCAUGAAACUAAUGGUCUGGCAGCCCUUAUGUGUCAAUCACAGGAUUAACGUACAUAAAUCAGCAAGUGGUCACAAACAGAUAUGUACUGGAUCAUCGUCGUCGUCUGGAUCAGUGUGUUUGGCACGGUGCGCAACCGUACGGCGCUGGAUGAGCGCGUGUGUAAGGUGCGGCAGGAGACGUGGACAAUGCACUAUUAUGUGGAACAUAGCGCCAUUCCAUGGCUGCCGUCAACUCCUGAAUUGAUGCCACUCGAUUUGCCACGAAAACUUGAAA